RNAcentral lists this ribosomal RNA (468 nucleotides) under uncultured bacterium. Its description in RNAcentral is "partial 16S ribosomal RNA". It matches the Rfam family "Bacterial small subunit ribosomal RNA", at positions 28 to 507 of the family's 1533-position model. The record is from RNAcentral.
GACGAACGCUGGCGGCGUGCUUAACACAUGCAAGUCGAACGGAAAGGCCCUGCUUUUGUGGGGUGCUCGAGUGGCGAACGGGUGAGUAACACGUGAGUAACCUGCCCUUGACUUUGGGAUAACUUCAGGAAACUGGGGCUAAUACCGGAUAGGAGCUCCUGCUGCAUGGUGGGGGUUGGAAAGUUUCGGCGGUUGGGGAUGGACUCGCGGCUUAUCAGCUUGUUGGUGGGGUAGUGGCUUACCAAGGCUUUGACGGGUAGCCGGCCUGAGAGGGUGACCGGCCACGUUGGGACUGAGAUACGGCCCAGACUCCUACGGGAGGCAGCAGUGGGGAAUAUUGCACAAUGGGCGGAAGCCUGAUGCAGCAACGCCGCGUGCGGGAUGACGGCCUGCGGGUUGUAAACCGCUGUCGCCUGUGACGAAGCGUGAGUGACGGUAAUGGGUAAAGAAGCACCGGCUAACUACGUG